AUGGCGCCGUCGCACAGGCAGGGAGGAGACCGGCUGAGCGCUCUCCCCGACACGGCGCUGGAGCGCGUCCUCUCCCACCUCGAGUCCGACGAGGCCGUGCGCACAAGCGGGCUCGCACGCCGAUGGCGGCGCGUCCACGAGGGCGUCCCCGUCGUCCACCUCGUCGACACCAAGACCGGCGAACGGAACCGCGGCUUCGGCGAGCUCAAGGUCUGCUACGACCACCAGGUGACGAGCGCGAUCAUGGGCAAGGGCUCGGGGACGCCUAUCCGCGUGCUGCGCCUCGACGCCUUCUACCCCCCGUACGAUCUGCUCGACCAGUGGAUCGUCACCGCCGUGAACUCCGGCGUCGAGGACCUGGACGUCGAGCUCAGGUACCGCGAGUCCGGCCUGGGUGGCCGCCUCUGCCCCUUCACGCCCGACCUCUACGGACGGAAAAACUCGGCGGACUUCGACAAGAGCGACCGUAACAGGUACACCCACACGCAGCGCCACAUCUUCGGGUGCCCCACGCUCCGCCGCCUGCGCCUGGUGGGAUGGAGGCUCGACAUGCCGGAGAACUUGGCCAUGACCAUGGCGUCGCUAGAGACGCUCUGCCUCGCGAGGAUCAUGGACCCGCGCGGGGAGCUGCAGCGGCUGAUCUGGAGCUGCCCGCGCCUCGCCAGCCUGACGCUGGAGCAGUGCCCGAGCAUCAUAGAGAUCACGGUGGCCAGCCCCUGCCUGCGGAGCUUUGCCAUGAUCUGCUGCCACCACGCCACCGGCGUCGAUCUGCAGACCACCUGCCUAGAGUCGCUGCACUACAAGGGCGGCCUUCCUCCCCGCGGCUCGUCCUUCAUCACCGUCGCAAACUACGACGGAGUCAAGGCGGUGAGGAUCGAAAUCUGCGAGAAGCUCUCCAGCAAAGCACCAGACGACAUCGCACCGGUCACUACGCUCAUCCGCAGCUGCAAGAAGAACCUAAAGUAUCUCCACCUUUCCUUGCGCCCGUCGAUGGCCUACUACAGCAGCCUGUUCACAAGCCUCCUGCGCUCCCUAGACAGCCUCACGCACCUGAGCCUCCAGGGCUGCUUGCCCACCGAAGACGCCGUCCGGUCGGUCUCUGCUUUGCUUGUCGACGCCAAGAACCUGAAAGUACUGUCGCUGUUUCCUCUGGGUCCAGAGCCUCCAAAGAACAAGAGUAUGCGGAUGUACAGGGACCAAGACGAUGACAAAUCAGAUUCAGAUAGUGAGCCAGAAGAGGGCCCGGCCGUCAGCGAUGGCGUCCAGUACCGAAUGCCCAAGACUCUGUGGAAGGUGCAGGUCAGGUGCUUGGCUUACAAGAUGAGAAGAAUCAACAUUGGAAACUACAAAGGGCGGCCUCUCGAAAAGAUGCUUGCAAGGUUUCUGCUCUCCAGGGCUGCAGCGUUGGAGGAAUUCUCUGUCACCUUAGCAGCUGAAGUUCAUCCGCAGAAGGAUGAGAUUACAAAGGAGUUACUAUCCUGGCGACAAAACCGCCGUACUAGAGUAAUAUGCAAGUAG
RNAcentral lists this ribosomal RNA (1518 nucleotides) under Triticum aestivum (bread wheat). Its description in RNAcentral is "partial small subunit ribosomal RNA". The record is from RNAcentral. Lineage: Eukaryota; Viridiplantae; Streptophyta; Magnoliopsida; Poales; Poaceae.